This 253-nucleotide ribosomal RNA is filed under the name uncultured bacterium. RNAcentral describes it as "partial 16S ribosomal RNA". It matches the Rfam family "Bacterial small subunit ribosomal RNA", at positions 524 to 776 of the family's 1533-position model. The record is from RNAcentral.
UACAGAGGUCCCAAGCGUUGUUCGGAUUCAUUGGGCGUAAAGGGUGCGUAGGCGGCGCGGUAAGUCGGGUGUGAAAUCUCGGGGCUUAACUCCGAAACUGCAUUCGAUACUGCCGUGCUUGAGGACUGGAGAGGAGACUGGAAUUUACGGUGUAGCAGUGAAAUGCGUAGAUAUCGUAAGGAACGCCAGUGGCGAAAGCGAGUCUCUGGGCAGCAUCUGACGCUGAGGCACGAAGGCCAGGGGAGCAAACGGG